ACUUAGCGGCGGACGGGUGAGUAACGCGUGGGCAACCUGCCUUACACAGGGGGAUAACAAUUAGAAAUGAUUGCUAAUACCGCAUAAGACUCCAGUACCGCAUGGUACAGGGGUAAAAACUGAGGUGGUGUAAGAUGGGCCCGCGUCUGAUUAGGUAGUUGGUGGGGUAGAAGCCUACCAAGCCGACGAUCAGUAGCCGACCUGAGAGGGCGACCGGCCACAUUGGGACUGAGACACGGCCCAAACUCCUACGGAAGGCAGCAG
This 264-nucleotide ribosomal RNA is filed under the name uncultured bacterium. RNAcentral describes it as "partial 16S ribosomal RNA". It matches the Rfam family "Bacterial small subunit ribosomal RNA", at positions 90 to 354 of the family's 1533-position model. The record is from RNAcentral.